UACGGGGGGGGUAAGCGUUGUUCGGAAUUACUGGGCGUAAAGGGCUCGUAGGCGGCCAACUAAGUCGAACGUGAAAUCCCCGGGCUCAACCCGGGAACUGCGUCCGAUACUGGAAGGCUUGAAUCCGGGAGAGGGAUGCGGAAUUCCGAGUGUAGAGGUGAAAUUCGUAGAUAUUCGGAGGAACACCAGUGGCGAAGGCGGCUCGCUGGACUGAUACUGACGCUGAGGUGCGAAAGCGUGGGGAGCAAACAGG
This 253-nucleotide ribosomal RNA is filed under the name uncultured bacterium. Its description in RNAcentral is "partial 16S ribosomal RNA". It matches the Rfam family "Bacterial small subunit ribosomal RNA", at positions 524 to 776 of the family's 1533-position model. The record is from RNAcentral.